GAUGAAGAACGUAGUGAAAUGCGAUAAGUAAUGUGAAUUGCAGAAUUCAGUGAAUCAUCGAAUCUUUGAACGCACCUUGCGCCCUUUGGCUAUUCCGAAGGGCAUGCCUGUUUGAGUAUCGUGAACACCUCAACUCUCAUGGUUUGCCAUGAUGAGCUUGGACGUUGGGGGAUUUGCUGGCCUUUGGUCGGCUCCUCUCAAACGGAUCAGCUUUCCAGUGUUUGGUGGCAUCACGGGUGUGAUAACUAUCUACGCCUGUGGUUUUCUGCCAGAUAACCUUCAGCGAUGGAGGUUCGCUGGGGCUCAUAAAUGUCUCUCUUCAGUGGAGACAGCUUUUUGGACGUUUGAUCUCAAAUCAGGUAGGACUACCCGCUGAACUUAAGCAUAUCAAUAAGCGGAGGA
Molecule: unclassified non-coding RNA, 402 nt
Filed under: soil metagenome
Description: partial contains 5.8S ribosomal RNA, internal transcribed spacer 2, and large subunit ribosomal RNA
Rfam family: 5.8S ribosomal RNA (bases 1-121)
Source: RNAcentral